RNAcentral lists this ribosomal RNA (515 nucleotides) under uncultured eukaryote. RNAcentral's name for it is "bacterial SSU rRNA". It matches the Rfam family "Eukaryotic small subunit ribosomal RNA", at positions 609 to 1068 of the family's 1831-position model. The record is from RNAcentral.
GUUGCUGCGGUUAAAAAGCUCGUAGUUGGAUUUCGGAGUUGUUAUCUGAACCUUCUCGCCAUAAAAAGUGGGGGGGCUAAGGUAGCAGUAGUUUUCAUCAUAGUCCACCAGGAUACUCUCUUGGUGUGUACUGGGUGUUAACCUCCUUUUUUCUGGUACUUGCUAUCCAGCAAUGGGUAGUUUUGUCCAGAUAGUUUACUUUGAAAAAUUAGAGUGUUCAAAGCAGGCAUAAUUGGCAUCAUGAAUACAUUAGCAUGGGAUAAUAGAAUAUGACAUUGGUCUUAUUUUGUUGGUUUCUAAGGCCAAAGUAAUGAUUGAUAGGGAUAGUUGGGGCCGCUCGUAUUGAGUUGUCAGAGGUGAAAUUCUAGGAUUUACUCAAGACGAACUAAUGCGAAAGCAUUCGGCAAGGAUGUUUUCAUUAAUCAAAGAACGAAAGUUGGGGGAUCGAAGAUGAUCAGAUACCGUCGUAGUCUCAACCAUAAACUAUGUCAACCGAGGAUCCGGUAGCGUUACAU